GUUUGGUGAGGCGGUGUUUGCGCCGAAGUGCAGGUACACCUUGCGCCGGCUUUCCCACUGUGGUGAGCAUAUCGGUGGAGUCCAUCACGGAGGAUGGCAACGGAGGUGGAUCACAAAGCAGCAGGCCAAGGCAGUUGCGCUUCACCGCUGGAGAUGGCUCUGUGU
This 165-nucleotide non-coding RNA is filed under the name Amphidinium massartii. Lineage: Eukaryota; Dinophyceae; Amphidiniales; Amphidiniaceae. The record is from RNAcentral.